This 1333-nucleotide ribosomal RNA is filed under the name Achirus lineatus (lined sole). RNAcentral describes it as "16S ribosomal RNA". It matches the Rfam family "Bacterial large subunit ribosomal RNA", at positions 225 to 2486 of the family's 2925-position model. The record is from RNAcentral. Lineage: Eukaryota; Metazoa; Chordata; Actinopteri; Pleuronectiformes; Achiridae.
AAACCAUUUUCUUCCCUAGUAUGGGAGACAGAAAAGAAACUCAAGAGCAAUAGAAAAAGUACCGCAAGGGAAAGCUGAAAAAGAAAUGAAACAACCCAGUAAAGCCUUAAAAAGCAAAGAUUAAACCUUGUACCUUUUGCAUCAUGAUCUAGCCAGCAUCGCCAAGCAAAAAGAAUUUUAGUUUGACACCCCGAAACCGAGCGAGCUACUCCAGGCCAGCCUAUAUAAAUAGGGCGAACCCAUCUCUGUGGCAAAAGAGUGGGAAGAGCCUCGAGUAGAGGUGAAAGACCUACCGAGCCCGGCUAUAGCUGGUUGCCUGAGAACUGAAUAGAAGUUCAGCCUCCCGGAUUCUUCCCUCAAGGACAUUUAAUUAAUAUAUACCGACCUCAAGAAACCCGAGAGAGUUAGUCAAAAGGGGGAUAGCCCUUUUGACACAAGAUACAACUUUACUAGGAGGGAACUGAUCAUAAUUUAUUAAGGGAUAAUAAUCCAAGUGGGCCUAAAAGCAGCCAUCUUAAUAGAAAGCGUCUAAGCUCAAACACUCCUUUAACCCCUCAAAUUCAGACAAUAACUCACAGCCCCCUAAAAAUAUCAGGCCCUCUCGUGCCCACACAAGAGAGACCAUGCUACUACGAGUAAUAAGAGAAAGACCUUCUCUCCUAGCACAUGUGUAAAUCGGACUGGACCCCCCACCGAAACUUAACGGUCCCAAAUAAAGAGGGUAGUAAAAAAAUACCAACAGACUAGAAAACCACUUAAAACCUUUACCGUUAACCCCACACUGGCGUGCCCCCAAGGAAAGACUAAAAGAAAAAGAAGGAACUCGGCAAACCAAAGCCUCGCCUGUUUACCAAAAACAUCGCCUCUUGCUAAAAUCAAAGAAUAAGAGGUCCCGCCUGCCCACUGAUCCCAGAUUCAACGGCCGCGGUAUUUUGACCGUGCUAAGGUAGCGUAAUCACUUGUCUUUUAAAUGAAGACCCGUAUGAAAGGCUUAACGAGGGCUUAACUGUCUCCUUUUUCCAGUCAAUGAAACUGAUCUCCCCGUGCAGACGCGGGGAUUAAAACAUAAGACGAGAAGACCCUAUGGAGCUUUAGACACCAAGGCAGCCUAUUUUAAAUAACCCUAAACAAGCAACAAAUCUAUUAGUAAACCUGCCUCAGUCUUAGGUUGGGGCGACCCUGGGGAAACACAAAACCCCCAUGUGGAGAGGGGGGACCUACUACGCAACCCCUAAAAACUCGAAACACAAUUCUAAUCAACAGAACCUCUGACCAAAUUGAUCCGGCCCAAGCCGAUUAACGAAACAAGUUACCCUAGGGAUAACAGCGCUAU